Molecule: long non-coding RNA, 1500 nt
Filed under: Mus spretus (western wild mouse)
Lineage: Eukaryota; Metazoa; Chordata; Mammalia; Rodentia; Muridae
Description: predicted gene, 44000 (ENSMSPG00010044125.1)
Source: RNAcentral
ACUGAAUAUAAGAGCAAUGUGUGGGGCAAGCACCAGAACUCUGGCCGGACAUGGGCACUCUCUCCCACUCCCCUCUUCACCUACACCCACAGCCCCGCAAAUGGUAGCAAGACGAUGGUGUAACUAUCGAUGCAAGACAGAACCAGCUAAAGAAAAUCCUCCACACACAGAGACCUACAUCAAAACUCCAAAUUUCCCAAGACCGUCUAUCUCCACAUAGUGCCUGCUGCCACUGAUCCACUUAAAACAGCGCUGUCUUCUGAGCCUACAGACAACAAAGCUGCCUUCCUCCAAAAACCUCAUCUGACUGAAGACUCCUGAGACACAUGAAGAACCCCACAGAAGACAGACUUGGGACCUUCCAGCUACAGAUGAACUCUCUCGCCAAAGCCAAUGGCUGCUGAACUUAGGGAAAGUUACAUGAUAGCAAAGAAAACAUAAUGUCUAUCUAGAUAAAUUAAUUGCUGUUCAAAAUUGGUGUUAUUACCCUCAAAUUGUACUACCCAUGGAACAAGUAAUUGAUUGUACAAUCUCUUGCCUUCCCAACCCUUACCCUUAACCCUCUUUACUACUCUGGCUUUGUUGUGCUACUUCUCUAGGCUGUAUGUUUUCUUCUGAUACUUCCACCCCACCCUAAAUUUUCAUCACAAAUGACACAGGCACACCAGUGAGCCCCCCCUCCCUUUUUUAUAAAAACAAAAGGGGGAUUUAUGGGGCAGGUGUUUAAUGAUUGCACAUAUAUACAUUCAUAGAAACCCUAUAAAGAAAAGAUGUUCACAUUUGUUUAAACCUGGAUAUUAUUUUGAAAAACACUGACACAUAGCAGGGUGGUUAUAACUGAAUGAAUGAAUGGAUGAAUGAAUGAAUGAAUGAAUGAAUGAGCUCUGUAUAUAUUCUAUCCAUUCUACCAUCAAAGAAAACUUUCUGUCAUUUGGUCACAAAGUAGGUAACUGUUCAUGUUCCUCUUUCUGUGUUUGUUUACUGAGAGCUCUAAUCCUUAUGCUAUGAAUUUCCCACAGUUUGAACCUAGUUAAUGGGCGCAGGUUGGUUCCGUUCCUUCACUACUGGGUCAUAUGCCUUGCUGGUACUAUUCUACUAAUUUUGUCCUUCAGGUUCACAUUCAAGCUGAUGUCUGUAGGAAAAUAAUUACAAUGAGAGUAGACAAAUUUUCUAGUCUCUUGAUUUGAGAUAGUAGUGCUGAGGAAAUCACAUUAUCUUUCUCAACCUGCACUUUCUUACUUCCAUUUCAACAAGCCCCUCCCCUACUUUUGCUAAGCAGGAACACAGCAGAAGGAAACAUGCUUCUUUCUAUCAUGUUGGCUCACUGGGAACAUCCUAGCACUGAAAAAGCCUCCACUUACUCUUGACCCUGACAUGAAGAUGAAGCUGAUAUAAUGAUUCUAAGAUGCUUUCCUGAUUUUACCUCUUAUGAUGGUUCCUAACCAAAAUCUUUAAUAUUGAUAAUCACAUAGUUUUCACAAUACAGGAAUGAUGUCAAAU